GGCUUGACAAGUGGUGCCAUGUCCGCCCCCAGGAUCCGAACCGGUGAACUCCGGGCCACGGAAGUGGAACGUGCAAAAUUAACCGCUGAGCCACCAGGCCGGCCCCAGAACUGGGAUAUUUUUAAAAAGGAAAAUUGAAGGUUCACAAAAACAGGAGUAAAACAUGGCCUCCAGGAGGCUGUUUAUUAGAAGAUUCUGGUUCAAGCCCCAUGCCAGCUUAGCACGGCAACCCACUCAGGCUCGCCAUUCUUGUGUCCUGCUGCUUCUGCUUCUUCAAUGAUGUGGACCAGGCAUGCUGAGACCUCAGUGAUAUGGACUAGCAAAGUGGAAGAGGAGCUGAGAACCAUCAAGGCCAAGACCAAGAGAGCAAAUUUGAUCACACACUUGGUCCUAGGGAAGUGUAUUUUGCAUUUUUAAACAGAACAUUUUCCAUAACUGAACCUUUAAACAUGUUGGUAUAGUCUAUGCACCUGUUUUUCAAGAUGAAGAAAGACAUAAUAUUCUGCAGAAAAAUGUCCCCAAUUCAGAGCCCAUCAUUUGCUUUACCUUUUUAUAUCCAAACAAGGUUAGAUAAUUCCAACUGUAUUUUAAGAAAUAUCCUUUACAUAGGGGAUUUGCACUGAUCUGAUCUUGACAUCGUGUGGACAGGGGUGUGCCAACACAUCUAGUCUGGAUCAAGAAAAAAAUAUUUUUAAAGGAUGAAGGAAAUCUAUUUGGGUUGUAAAGAAAUCAUAACUUUGAAAUUUUUUUUGGAUUAUAUCACAGUUUGCUCAUAUAUGCAUUUUACUUAGCAUUUUGAAAUAUACCAACUGAAAUAUUUAUUACUAGAUUUAAUAGCUUGGAUUUACUAGGAAAGGAAGAAAAGCCAGAUGAUACAAGUUUAAAUCAUCUGAAACGGGUAUUGCAGAAAUUUUACUGGUGCAGUUGGAAAUGGAAACCACUCUAGUUAUGCCAAGCAGGAAGUUAUUUAACACAGGGAAUUAGACGCUCACAUAAUCGUUGGAAGGGAUGGAGGAGGAGGAGUCUGGAGGGGCCGCCAUGGUCUUUCAGAUCACACUGAUGGAACUGAGAUCCAAAGAUGAGGAAAGUCCAGAAAACUCCAGAAAAGCAUCUAGUUCCAUGCCCUCCUCUCCACAAAGCUGGUGUCUAAACAGUGAUGUGGGGAAUCUGGCCACUGCAAAAAUUCAUUUCUGUUAAGAACUAUCAGCAACCCCUGCUACAAGAUGAUUUGUCUCUCCUCCUCCAUCCAAAUCUCACAUGAAUUGAUGGAACUUAAAUUGUAUCUAGUUAGCGGAAGGCUGUCUGGGAAAUAAAAUUUUCAACCCUCUAGCCCUCAUAAUAGAAGGAGGAAUGCCAAGUGCUAAUUGACAAUAUCUGGGACUGAAGACAUAUAUACGCAUUUGGAAAUACCAUAUGUAUAUAUGUUAUGUGGUUUAGCAUGUCCCAAAGAAUAUUUUAUGGAACAUUCAUUCGGCAGGUAUCAAUCAGGAAGAAACGGGAUUCAUGAUGAAAAGGGUCUAGGGAUCCUUGCAUGCCCAUCUUUUGGAGAGUCGCGGGGCAUAUUAGCAUAUUAAAGAUCUUGAGAAGGCCUACAGCAGAGAAGUCCUCUUUUCCUGUCUGGAGGGCACACAAUAUACUAUAACAGUGGUUGUCUCUGGGAAGUGGAAAUAGGGCAUCAAUGACCGUUACUUGCCACUUUCUACCCUUCUAAACCAACAGGAUUUGAUACAAUGGUGAGAAAUUUUCAUCUUUUAUAAAAAUAAGGUUUGUUUUCCUUCUAAGGUUCAAAUAAAAAUUUUAGGUGUAAAAGCUGUGGGUGUGAGCCCCAUGGAUGAAGGAGCCCGUGUGCUUUUUACACCAGAGGAACAAUACGAGUGUUUUCAAAGUGAGAUCUUUGGACUCCCUGUAUCAGAAUCCCCUGGGGGAAGAGUGG
Molecule: long non-coding RNA, 1933 nt
Filed under: Equus asinus (donkey)
Lineage: Eukaryota; Metazoa; Chordata; Mammalia; Perissodactyla; Equidae
Description: lncRNA (ENSEASG00005024643.1)
Source: RNAcentral